RNAcentral lists this non-coding RNA (150 nucleotides) under Microbacterium sp. RNAcentral describes it as "FMN sequence". It matches the Rfam family "FMN riboswitch aptamer (RFN element)". From Rfam's summary of the family: The RFN element is a highly conserved domain that is found frequently in the 5'-untranslated regions of prokaryotic mRNAs that encode for flavin mononucleotide (FMN) biosynthesis and transport proteins. This element is a metabolite-dependent riboswitch that directly binds FMN in the absence of proteins. In Bacillus subtilis, the riboswitch most likely controls gene expression by causing premature transcription termination within the 5' untranslated region of the ribDEAHT operon and precluding access to the ribosome-binding site of ypaA mRNA. The record is from RNAcentral. Lineage: Bacteria; Bacillati; Actinomycetota; Actinomycetes; Micrococcales; Microbacteriaceae.
AACGUGCUCCGGGGUCGGUGAGAAUCCGAACCGGCGGUGACAGUCCGCGAACCCCUCCGCUUCAUGCGGUGGGGCCGAUCCGGUGGAAUUCCGGAACCGACGGUGAUGAGGCGAGAGAUCUCCUCUAGUCCGGAUAGGAGGCAGCACGGU